Long non-coding RNA from Oncorhynchus keta (chum salmon), 1698 nucleotides. RefSeq lists it as uncharacterized. The record is from RefSeq and is a predicted model, not a curated record. Lineage: Eukaryota; Metazoa; Chordata; Actinopteri; Salmoniformes; Salmonidae. The transcript is spliced from 5 exons.
GCCACUGUGCUUCUACACCUGCAUUGCUUGCUGUUUGGGGUUUUAGGCUGGGUUUCUGUACAGCACUUUGAGAUAUCAGCUGAUGUACGAAGGGCUAUAUAAAUACAUUUGAUUUGAUCUGUUUGGAAAACCCUGAGUUCAUCUUUGACACAGACAGUUCAAGCAUUGUGGAUGGGGGUGUGAGGAAGGCGGGCUGGACAGUGACUACAAUGGACAAUGUGAUAGUGAAAGGCACAUUACCUGCAGGAACAUCAGCACAGGUGGCAGAAUUGGUGGCUUUGACAGAAACAUGUAAACAGGCUGAAGGAAUAACAGCUGAUAUCUACACAGACUCAAUGUAUGCUUUCGGCGUUACCCAUGAUUUUGGAAAAAUAUGGAAAAACAUGAUUAAUGACAUCACUGGGAGUUCCUGUGAAGUAUGGACCAGAGGUGAUGGCUCUACUGAAUGCUCUCCUGUGAAGUAUGGACCAGAGGUGAUGGCUCUACUGAAUGCUCUCCUGUGAAGUAUGGACCAGAGGUGAUGGCUCUACUGAAUGCUCUCCUGUGAAGUAUGGACCAGAGGUGAUGGCUCUACUGAAUGCUCUCCUGUGAAGUAUGGACCAGAGGUGAUGGCUCUACUGAAUGCUCUCCUGUGAAGUAUGGACCAGAGGUGAUGGCUCUACUGAAUGCUCUCCUGUGAAGUAUGGACCAGAGGUGAUGGCUCUACUGAAUGCUCUCCUGUGAAGUAUGGACCAGAGGUGAUGGCUCUACUGAAUGCUCUCCUGUGAAGUAUGGACCAGAGGUGAUGGCUCUACUGAAUGCUCUCCUGUGAAGUAUGGACCAGAGGUGAUGGCUCUACUGAAUGCUCUCCUGUGAAGUAUGGACCAGAGGUGAUGGCUCUACUGAAUGCUCUCCUGUGAAGUAUGGACCAGAGGUGAUGGCUCUACUGAAUGCUCUCCUGUGAAGUAUGGACCAGAGGUGAUGGCUCUACUGAAUGCUCUCCUGUGAAGUAUGGACCAGAGGUGAUGGCUCUACUGAAUGCUCUCCUGUGAAGUAUGGACCAGAGGUGAUGGCUCUACUGAAUGCUCUCCUGUGAAGUAUGGACCAGAGGUGAUGGCUCUACUGAAUGCUCUCCUGUGAAGUAUGGACCAGAGGUGAUGGCUCUACUGAAUGCUCUCCUGUGAAGUAUGGACCAGAGGUGAUGGCUCUACUGAAUGCUCUCCUGUGAAGUAUGGACCAGAGGUGAUGGCUCUACUGAAUGCUCUCCUGUGAAGUAUGGACCAGAGGUGAUGGCUCUACUGAAUGCUCUCCUGUGAAGUAUGGACCAGAGGUGAUGGCUCUACUGUAUGCUCUCCAUUUAACUGGACAAGUUGCGAUUUGAAAAUUAAAGCACAUGGAAAAAUCUUUACAGAUUAAAAGAGCUGCUUAAGGCGACUGCCAAGAGAACCUAAACUGAUUAGGAAAUAGACCUUGGACACAUUGCAAGACAUUAGAGACAUGCAAAGCAGCGCACCAAAAGAUGAAGUGUGGGAACGGAUGACUGCAGGGUGCAAACUCAAUCAAGAAGGUGUGUGGAAAUACAACCUGAGAUGUGUAGCGUCAAAUGCAUUCCUAAGGGUGGCUACUUUGAAUUAUCUAAAAAUCCUAAAUAGAUUUCGAUUUUUUUAAACACUUUUUUUGGUUACUAUAUGAUUCCAUGUGUUAUUUCAUAGUGUUGUU